CCCUUAGAUGUUCUGGGCCGCACGCGCGCUACAAUGAUGAAUUCAACGAGUUUAUAACCUUGGUUGAAAAGCCUGGGUAAUCUUUUGAACUUUCGUCGUGAUGGGGCUAGACCCUUGCAAUUAUUGGUCUCCAACGAGGAAUUCCUAGUAAACGCAAGUCAUCAGCUUGCAUUGAUUACGUCCCUGCCCUUUGUACACACCGCCCGUCGCACCUACCGAUUGUAUGGUCCGGUGAAAUCUUCGGAUUGAGACUUUGAUUUCUUCACGGAAAACGCUGUUUUAAAAAGUUGAUUAAACCUUACCAUUUAGAGGAAGGUGAAGUCGUAACA
Molecule: ribosomal RNA, 329 nt
Filed under: uncultured eukaryote
Lineage: Eukaryota
Description: partial 18S ribosomal RNA
Rfam family: Eukaryotic small subunit ribosomal RNA
Source: RNAcentral